GUCAAUGUGGAGGCUAUAUACAGGGUAUUACGGUACAGAGUCAAUGUGGAGGCUAUAUACAGGGGGUACUGGUACAGAGUCAAUGUGGAGGCUAUAUACAGGGGGUACCGGUACAGAGUCAAUGUGGAGGCUAUAUACAGGGUGUACCGGUACAGAGUCAAUGUGGAGGCUAUAUACAGGAGGUACCGGUACAGAGUCAAUGUGGAGGCUAUAUACAGGGGGUACCGGUACAGAGUCAAUAUGGAGACUAUAUACAGGGGGUACCAGCACAGAGUCAAUGUGGAGACUAUAUACAGGGGGAACUGGCACAGAGUCAAUGUGGAGACUAUAUACAGGGGGUACCAGCACAGAGUCAAUGUGGAGACUAUAUAAAGGGG
Long non-coding RNA from Oncorhynchus tshawytscha (Chinook salmon), 377 nucleotides. The record is from Ensembl. NCBI's taxonomy places the organism in Eukaryota, Metazoa, Chordata, Actinopteri, Salmoniformes, Salmonidae.